UGGCGACCAUAGCAAGAGUGAACCACCUGAUCCCUUCCCGAACUCAGAAGUGAAACCUCUUAGCGCUGAUGGUAGUGUGGGAUUACCCAUGUGAGAGUAAGUCAUCGCCAGCU
This 113-nucleotide ribosomal RNA is filed under the name Acinetobacter baumannii. RNAcentral also lists the same sequence under 2 other names. Lineage: Bacteria; Pseudomonadati; Pseudomonadota; Gammaproteobacteria; Moraxellales; Moraxellaceae. The record is from RNAcentral.